AAGGAAGAGCUAGUCUACCUUCUUCCUUCUAUGUACCAGGAAACAGGCCCAGAGAAGGGGAGUAACUUGCCCAAAGGCGCACAGAGCACUGGGUCAGAGUGUGAAGGGAGUGGCUGCCUGCUCUGGGGCCUUGGGGCUGAAUCCAGGUGCCUCCUCUCGCUCCCUGAGGCUGACGGGUGCAGGAGGGUCUGCAAGUGAGGCUUGCUUCCCAGACACCACGAAGGCCAGAAGACAACAGAACAACAUCCGUAAGGGGCUGAAAGAAAAGAAAACUGGUCAACCGAGAAUUUUAUACCCAACAAAAAUAUCUUUCAAGAAUGAAGGUGAAUUAAAGAUUUUUUCAGAUAAAGUUGUAGGUCCUUCCAGUUGUGGCAUGUGGGACACUGCCUCAGCAUGGCCUGAUGAGCGGUGCCACGUCUGCACCCAGGAUCCGAACUGGUGAAACCCUGGGCCACCAAAGCGGAGCGCGAGAACUUAACCACCGGCCACAGGGUCAGCCUCUAAAGGAAGUUCUUUAGGGAGAAGGAGAAUGAUGCAGAAUGAACACUUGGCUCUACAUAAAGGAAUGAAGAGUGUCAGAAGUGGUAAACACGAGUAAAUACAAAAAGACCUCCCUUCGUUUUUAAAUUUCUUUAAAAUAUAGUUGCCUGUUUAAAGCAAAAAUAAUAAUGUGGUGUAGGGUUUAUAACACAAAAAUAAAACGUAUGACAACAAUAG
Molecule: long non-coding RNA, 717 nt
Filed under: Equus asinus (donkey)
Lineage: Eukaryota; Metazoa; Chordata; Mammalia; Perissodactyla; Equidae
Description: lncRNA (ENSEASG00005029504.1)
Source: RNAcentral